ACCCUGGUAGUCCACGCCGUAAACGAUGAGUGCUAAGUGUUAGGGGGUUUCCGCCCCUUAGUGCUGCAGCUAACGCAUUAAGCACUCCGCCUGGGGAGUACGGUCGCAAGACUGAAACUCAAAGGAAUUGACGGGGGCCCGCACAAGCGGUGGAGCAUGUGGUUUAAUUCGAAGCAACGCGAAGAACCUUACCAGGUCUUGACAUCCUCUGACAACCCUAGAGAUAGGGCUUUCCCUUCGGGGACAGAGUGACAGGUGGUGCAUGGUUGUCGUCAGCUCGUGUCGUGAGAUGUUGGGUUAAGUCCCGCAACGAGCGCAACCCUUGAUCUUAGUUGCCAGCAUUCAGUUGGGCACUCUAAGGUGACUGCCGGUGACAAACCGGAGGAAGGUGGGGAUGAC
This 399-nucleotide ribosomal RNA is filed under the name Bacillus xiamenensis. RNAcentral describes it as "bacterial SSU rRNA". It matches the Rfam family "Bacterial small subunit ribosomal RNA", at positions 784 to 1183 of the family's 1533-position model. The record is from RNAcentral. Lineage: Bacteria; Bacillati; Bacillota; Bacilli; Caryophanales; Bacillaceae.